GCCUAGUUAGCUUAGUUGGUAGUGCGUCUGCCUUGUAAGCGCUAGGCCGCGGGUUCGAUUCCCGCACGGGGCU
This 73-nucleotide transfer RNA is filed under the name Diaphorina citri (Asian citrus psyllid). It matches the Rfam family "tRNA". Rfam says of the family: Transfer RNA (tRNA) molecules are approximately 80 nucleotides in length. Their secondary structure includes four short double-helical elements and three loops (D, anti-codon, and T loops). The record is from Rfam by way of RNAcentral. Lineage: Eukaryota; Metazoa; Arthropoda; Insecta; Hemiptera; Psyllidae.